This 253-nucleotide ribosomal RNA is filed under the name uncultured bacterium. RNAcentral's name for it is "partial 16S ribosomal RNA". It matches the Rfam family "Bacterial small subunit ribosomal RNA", at positions 524 to 776 of the family's 1533-position model. The record is from RNAcentral.
UACAGAGGGUGCGAGCGUUAAUCGGAAUUACUGGGCGUAAAGGGUGCGUAGGCGGUUAUUUAAGUUAGAUGUGAAAUCCCCGGGCUUAACCUGGGAAUUGCAUUUGAUACUGGAUGGCUAGAGUAGAGUAGAGGGAAGUGGAAUUUCCGGUGUAGCGGUGAAAUGCGUAGAUAUCGGAAAGAACAUCAGUGGCGAAGGCGGCUUCCUGGACUCAUACUGACGCUGAGGCACGAAAGCAUGGGGAGCAAACAGG